This 1369-nucleotide ribosomal RNA is filed under the name uncultured bacterium. RNAcentral's name for it is "bacterial SSU rRNA". It matches the Rfam family "Bacterial small subunit ribosomal RNA", at positions 28 to 1381 of the family's 1533-position model. The record is from RNAcentral.
GACGAACGCUGGCGGCGUGCCUAAUACAUGCAAGUAGAACGCUGAAGAGAGGAGCUUGCUCUUCUUGGAUGAGUUGCGAACGGGUGAGUAACGCGUAGGUAACCUGCCUUGUAGCGGGGGAUAACUAUUGGAAACGAUAGCUAAUACCGCAUAACAAUGGAUGACACAUGUCAUUUAUUUGAAAGGGGCAAUUGCUCCACUACAAGAUGGACCUGCGUUGUAUUAGCUAGUAGGUGAGGUAAUGGCUCACCUAGGCGACGAUACAUAGCCGACCUGAGAGGGUGAUCGGCCACACUGGGACUGAGACACGGCCCAGACUCCAACGGGAGGCAGCAGUAGGGAAUCUUCGGCAAUGGGGGCAACCCUGACCGAGCAACGCCGCGUGAGUGAAGAAGGUUUUCGGAUCGUAAAGCUCUGUUGUAAGUCAAGAACGGGUGUGAGAGUGGAAAGUUCACACUGUGACGGUAGCUUACCAGAAAGGGACGGCUAACUACGUGCCAGCAGCCGCGGUAAUACGUAGGUCCCGAGCGUUGUCCGGAUUUAUUGGGCGUAAAGCGAGCGCAGGCGGUUUGAUAAGUCUGAAGUUAAAGGCUGUGGCUCAACCAUAGUUCGCUUUGGAAACUGUCAAACUUGAGUGCAGAAGGGGAGAGUGGAAUUCCAUGUGUAGCGGUGAAAUGCGCAGAUAUAUGGAGGAACACCGGUGGCGAAAGCGGCUCUCUGGUCUGUAACUGACGCUGAGGCUCGAAAGCGUGGGGAGCGAACAGGAUUAGAUACCCUGGUAGUCCACGCCGUAAACGAUGAGUGCUAGGUGUUGGAUCCUUUCCGGGAUUCAGUGCCGCAGCUAACGCAUUAAGCACUCCGCCUGGGGAGUACGACCGCAAGGUUGAAACUCAAAGGAAUUGACGGGGGCCCGCACAAGCGGUGGAGCAUGUGGUUUAAUUCGAAGCAACGCGAAGAACCUUACCAGGUCUUGACAUCCCGAUGCUAUUUCUAGAGAUAGAAAGUUACUUCGGUACAUCGGUGACAGGUGGUGCAUGGUUGUCGUCAGCUCGUGUCGUGAGAUGUUGGGUUAAGUCCCGCAACGAGCGCAACCCCUAUUGUUAGUUGCCAUCAUUCAGUUGGGCACUCUAGCGAGACUGCCGGUAAUAAACCGGAGGAAGGUGGGGAUGACGUCAAAUCAUCAUGCCCCUUAUGACCUGGGCUACACACGUGCUACAAUGGUUGGUACAACGAGUUGCGAGUCGGUGACGGCGAGCUAAUCUCUUAAAGCCAAUCUCAGUUCGGAUUGUAGGCUGCAACUCGCCUACAUGAAGUCGGAAUCGCUAGUAAUCGCGGAUCAGCACGCCGCGGUGAAUACGUUCCCGGGCCU